UCACACAAGGUUCUCCAAGAAGAGAGACCAUGGAGCCAGGAAGAGGAGGCCCACAAAUCAAUGAGAGACACUGAAGAAAUGACUAGAGAUCUGACUUCAAAACAGGAUGAAUGACUGCCCAUUGCUGACCCCUUCCUCAGCUGCCACAGCCCUGGCCAAGAGGGAGGCCUCUGGCAUCUGUACAGUAGCCACCUCCUGUUAAGGUGGUGCCCGCUGGGGAAAACAGAAUGAAGCCUACCUGGUCGUCAGCUCCAAAGGAGAAGGUCCAGCAAACCUGUGUGAGAAACAUCAAGCUGCAGGAUUUCUCAGGCCUGUCUCAAGAGUGGGAGUUCACUGAAGGUUCAAAGAGGAUGGAGAAGAUGUGAAAUAAUGUGGAGAAUAAAAUUCUGAACUGACCAAAGAAACGUAUAAAUGUGACUGGGCAGCCAUUGCCCCAUGGGGUAAAAUGUCCCUGUAAAGAGAGAGAGCGUGCACAUGAGCGUGCACAUGAGAGAGAGAGAGGAACAGAGGACCUGAAGCAGGCUCUGCACUGACAGCAGAAAGCCCAAUGUGGGGCUCAAACUCACAAACCAUGAGAUCAUGACCUGAGCCAAAGUCACAUGCUUAACUGACUGAGCCACCCAGGCACCCCUGAAAAACAAGUUUCUGAUAAAGAAGUGUACCAUUGGAAGGUUCCCAUCUCUUUUGCAUUCCAAGAGCCACUGGGGAUGGAUACUCAGGGUAAAGUACGGACUGUGCUACUCUGGCCAACGCCAGCCCCGUCCACUCUGGCCAUCAUUUGCACAGCCUUUGUCACUUGCUCCUGACUGCCAGCAUCCAGGCUUCACAGAUGUCUUUUGGUGCUGCAUCUCAGGCUACGCAUCAGUCACUGUUCAGUUGUGGAUCUGGACCAGAGCAGGAAGGUAACUUCCCACCCUUUAAGUUCUGUUCUGUUACUGUGUCCUCCCAGCUGAGGCCCUCAGCUCCUGAGUGUUGGGAGACAGCUCUGUUUGUUUGCAAAAUAUGCCUUCAUGGUUCCAAGUGUUCACUUGCUCCUGGAGUAGUUCACUUGGGAUGUUGUAAACAGCCACCACGCUGUUAAUUGGAAACAUCACUCCUCUCCAAUCUUCGGGUCCUGUUGCUGAGUCCAUUCAUUGUUGCCAGGUUCCACCUUAAGUAGGUAUCAGUUCUCCUUCGAGGCUCUUUCAUCACCCUGUGGUUUGCCUACUGUCAUCAGCACCUGAUUCAUCAGACAUUCCCAUGGACAUUGGAACCUCUUCAGCCCCAAUGGCGCCUAACUCCACAUGCCAGACCUAUAUUGGGUCAGCCAGUACUUCUGCUAUAAAUAUAGGAAAUGUGAUAUAUUUAGUGCAGCUAUUUAAAUUUCAUAAUCUAUGAUCACCUGAAUAUAGGAACUAAUUCAUUCAGAAUCAAACUGUUUGGAAAACUAAAACAACUGAAUUUUUGUACCACUUAAACUUGGCUUUUAAUACUUUUACAUUUUGAGAUAAUUAUAGACUGUACAAAAUAAUCCAGAGAUCCCAUAUACCUUUAUCCAGUGUUCUCCCAAUGGCAACAACUUGUAUAACUAUAGUACAAUAUCACAACUAGCAAAUUGAUAUUGAUAUAAUCCAGCAACGUGUCCAGAUUUCACCAGUUUUAGUUUUCCAUGCACUCACGUAUAUGCCUGUGUGUCUGUUUAGUGCUAGGCAAUUUUAUCGCAUAUACGGGUUCACACGGCCACCAAAAUAUAGGACAGUUCCACCUGUUCUGUAGGAACCUUCAUGCCACCCUGCUGACACCACCCUGGUGGGAGAUGAGGAACUCUGCCUGCUUCCAACUGGCAGGAAAUGGAGAAUCAGUCCCACCAAUAUGACUGGGCGGGAGAACUGGAGCCCCACCACCUGCUUCUGCAGGGAUGGGGGUGAAGAGGAAGAUCAGCUCCCUAUUCUGCCCCACUGAACCUAGGGAGAGGGGGAUACAAUUCUCUACGAAUGUUUGGCCAAAGUAGGGCAAGAUUGCCAAAAAGCCUUUCUAUGGUUGAGGCCGCUCCUUCAUUGGUUCGUUGAGUAGGAGGAACAGAUGUUUCUCGUGGCUUACUUUAUCCAUGCCCACUGACGGUUCCAGGAUGGAAGCUACUAUAGUACCCAUCCUGGGCUAUAUGGGAGGCAGUAAGGAAACCUAGAUUCGUCACCAUGUUAUUUCUCAAGUCCCAGAGUCCCUAGGCAGUCCAUCUUCUUCUUUCCUCCUUUGAGUCUUCCUAUGUUUGUUUGAUAUAUUAUGUCCACAGUUGUAAUAAGGAGCACCUGGAAGGAAAAGGGUGCUCCAUCCUGGCUAGAACCAGAGGUCUUAUCUAUACUUGAUUUUUAAGAGAAAUAAAUAGAUAACAGGUAUGUUGACACCAACAGUUAACUCAUGGAAGCAACUUUUCAGGAUGUUACCAUUUUCGUCUGGCUCAGUAUUCUGUAUCUGUCAAUAUCCAUGUCUCAUAGAUGUGUGUGUGUUACAUACCUUGGCAUGUGACAAGAAUUUGUGUUCAAAAUGAGAAUAUUCUGUGAAUAGCUUCUGAAGCAUCAAAGAAAAUGAAAGUAUCUUCUCUGCAGUUUUGUGUGAGUGUAUUUAGACGAGUUUAAUUCUGUAAACAAUGGUUGUUUUCCACUGUGUCAGAAACCCAAUACCCCAGCCAAUCUGGCUAGAAGAGAUUGUAUUGCACGUAGACGUCUUGGAGCAGAAUUAGAUGACUGACCAAAUAUGAGGACAGUUUUAAAAACAGCACCACUGGUGAACAAGGUCCUAAACAUCUCUCAGAGAGGCAAUGUCUUUCUUCAAGUAGGUAGAGGUUAUUAUGUGGAAACCUCCAUUGGGUAAGCAAGACAAAAACAUGCUGGAUUUUAAGCAAGAGGAUGUUAAGUUAGAUUGUUUUCCUCCUUUCUGAAAUUUAUAAAAAUUAAUACAUGUUUCUGGAAAAAUAUUAAACAAUAUGUAAAUGGAAAAUGGAAAAUGUGAUAGGUUCCUUCUUAUCUUGCCUUUCAACACCCUCUCCUCUGAUGAUAGUUUUGGUGUGUUUGGUUAGAUUUUUUAGAAACAGGCUUCAGCAGUCAAAGUUUUCUUUCAUUUUCUUUUUUUAAGGUCUUAUUUAUCUUUAAGAGAGAGAGAGCACAUGCAUGCAAGUGGGGGAGGGACAGAGAGAAGGGUACAGAGGAUCCAAAGCAAGGUCUGUGCUAACAGCAGUGAGCCCGUUGUGGGGCUCAAAUUCAUGAACUGUGAGAUCAUGACCUGAGCUGAAGCUGGGUGCUCAACUGACUGAGCCCCGCAGGUGCCCCAGCAGUCAAAGGUGUCUGUGUGCAAGUAAACUUAAAACUUCUCAGUCCUGGGAGAUUUUCUACAAUUGGUCAUGAGAGGUGAUUUGGGGUAAGUGGGAAAGAACUGUCUCUCAAAUCUGUUCAAGCUUUCAGUUCAGAUGGGGCUACCCUUUAAAACACAUGCAUAUGCAUGCACACACACGCACACAUAUGCACACGCACUCAUAUGCAUGCACACAUAUACACAUGUAUGCACAUUUCUCACUUGAAAAGGCCAUUUCACGGGUCACCUGGGGGGCUCAGUCAGUCAAGCGUCUGACUUCCAUUCAUGCCAUGAUCUUGCAGUUCAUGAGUUCAAGCCCCACAUCUGCUCACUGCUGUCAGCCUGUCAGCACAGAGUCCCUUUCAGAUCCUCUGUUCCCCUCUCUCUGUCCCUCCCACACUUGUGCUCUCCCCAAAAUAAAUAAAUACAAAAAAAAAAAAA
Acinonyx jubatus (cheetah) is the source of this 3765-nucleotide long non-coding RNA. RefSeq lists it as uncharacterized. The record is from RefSeq and is a predicted model, not a curated record. NCBI's taxonomy places the organism in Eukaryota, Metazoa, Chordata, Mammalia, Carnivora, Felidae. The transcript is spliced from 6 exons.